GUGGGGAAUAUUGGGCAAUGGGCGAAAGCCUGACCCAGCAACGCCGCGUGAAGGAAGAAGGCUUUCGGGUUGUAAACUUCUUUUGUCAGGGACGAAAAAAAUGACGGUACCUGACGAAUAAGCCACGGCUAACUACGUGCCAGCAGCCGCGGUAAUACGUAGGUGGCAAGCGUUAUCCGGAUUUACUGGGUGUAAAGGGCGUGUAGGCGGGAAAGCAAGUCAGAUGUGAAAACUAUGGGCUCAACCCAUAGCCUGCAUUUGAAACUGUUUUUCUUGAGUACUGGGGAGGCAGAUGGAAUUCCUAGUGUAGCGGUGAAAUGCGUAGAUAUUAGGAGGAACACCAGUGGCGAAGGCGAUCUGCUGGACAGCAACUGACGCUGAGGCGCGAAAGCGUGGGGAGCAAACAGGAUUAGAUACCCUGGUAGUCC
RNAcentral lists this ribosomal RNA (428 nucleotides) under uncultured bacterium. RNAcentral describes it as "partial 16S ribosomal RNA". It matches the Rfam family "Bacterial small subunit ribosomal RNA", at positions 354 to 796 of the family's 1533-position model. The record is from RNAcentral.